GACGAACGCUGGCGGCGUGCUUAACACAUGCAAGUCGAACGGUGAAAGCGGAGCUUGCUCCGCUGGAUCAGUGGCGAACGGGUGAGUGACACGUGGGCAACCUGCCCCUCACUUCGGGAUAACUCUGGGAAACUGGGGCUAAUACCGGAUAUGACCUCCUUGGGCAUCCUUGGAGGUGGAAAGUUUUUCGGUGAGGGAUGGGCCCGCGGCCUAUCAGCUUGUUGGUGAGGUAGUGGCUCACCAAGGCGACGACGGGUAGCCGGCCUGAGAGGGCGACCGGCCACACUGGGACUGAGACACGGCCCAGACUCCUACGGGAGGCAGCAGUGGGGAAUAUUGCGCAAUGGGCGAAAGCCUGACGCAGCAACGCCGCGUGCGGGAUGACGGCCUUCGGGUUGUAAACCGCUUUCAGCAGGGAAGAAGCCGCAAGGUGACGGUACCUGCAGAAGAAGCACCGGCUAACUACGUGCCAGCCGCCGCCGUAA
RNAcentral lists this ribosomal RNA (485 nucleotides) under uncultured bacterium. RNAcentral describes it as "partial 16S ribosomal RNA". It matches the Rfam family "Bacterial small subunit ribosomal RNA", at positions 28 to 523 of the family's 1533-position model. The record is from RNAcentral.